AUGAACGCUGGCGGCGUGCUUCACACAUGCAGGUCGAACGAAGCACUUUAUUUGAUUUCCUUCGGGACUGAUUAUUUUGUGACUGAGUGGCGGACGGGUGAGUAACGCGUGGGUAACCUGCCUUGUACAGGGGGAUAACAGUUGGAAACGGCUGCUAAUACCGCAUAAGCGCACAGCAUCGCAUGAUGCAGUGUGAAAAGCUCCGGUGGUAUAAGAUGGACCCGCGUUGGAUUAGCUAGUUGGUGAGGUAACGGCCCACCAAGGCGACGAUCCAUAGCCGACAUGAGAGGGUGACCGGCCACAUUGGGACUGAGACACGGCCCAAACUCCUACGGGAGGCAGCAGUGGGGAAUAUUGCACAAUGGGCGAAAGCCUGAUGCAGCGACGCCGCGUGAGCGAAGAAGUAUUUCGGUAUGUAAAGCUCUAUCAGCAGGGAAGAUAAUGACGGUACCUGACUAAGAAGCACCGGCUAAAUACGUG
This 480-nucleotide ribosomal RNA is filed under the name uncultured bacterium. Its description in RNAcentral is "partial 16S ribosomal RNA". It matches the Rfam family "Bacterial small subunit ribosomal RNA", at positions 29 to 507 of the family's 1533-position model. The record is from RNAcentral.